CCUCAAACUGAGUCGACCCGCUUGGACACCUCAACACCAUUGUUGGAGUUGGAGAAGGAAGAAAACGCUGGUUUUGUUGAAGGAGAGGAAAAAGGGUCCUCAAUUGAUGAACCUUUUGUUGAAGACAAUGAAGAAAGUGAAACCUAUGAACCAGAAGAAGAAGAAGAAGAAGAAGAAGAAGAAGAAGCAGAUAUUGAAGAAAGUGAAACCUAUGAACCAGAAGAAGAAGAAGAAGAAGAAUUAAUGGAAGGAAACAAUGUGUUAAGUACUGAAGAGAUGAACAAAAGAUUUGAUGAAUUUAUCAGAAAAAUGAAGGAAGGAUUAAGGAUCGAAGCUCAACAACAAUUAGUCAUG
RNAcentral lists this long non-coding RNA (354 nucleotides) under Gossypium raimondii (Peruvian cotton). RNAcentral's name for it is "long non-coding RNA (GRAI_LNC007877)". The record is from RNAcentral. Lineage: Eukaryota; Viridiplantae; Streptophyta; Magnoliopsida; Malvales; Malvaceae.